UACGUAGGCAGCGAGCGUUGUUCGGAGUUACUGGGCGUAAAGAGUGCGUAGGCGGUUUUCUAAGUUUGGUGUGAAAUCUCCCGGCUUAACUGGGAGGGUGCGCCGAAAACUGGAAGGCUUGAGUAUGGGAGAGGUAAGCGGAAUUCCUGGUGUAGCGGUGAAAUGCGUAGAUAUCAGGAGGAACACCUGCGGUGUAGACGGCUUUUACUGGACCAUAACUGACGCUGAGGCACGAAAGCGUGGGGUAGCAAACAGG
This 256-nucleotide ribosomal RNA is filed under the name uncultured bacterium. RNAcentral describes it as "partial 16S ribosomal RNA". It matches the Rfam family "Bacterial small subunit ribosomal RNA", at positions 524 to 776 of the family's 1533-position model. The record is from RNAcentral.